Molecule: ribosomal RNA, 254 nt
Filed under: uncultured bacterium
Lineage: Bacteria
Description: partial 16S ribosomal RNA
Rfam family: Bacterial small subunit ribosomal RNA
Source: RNAcentral
GACGAACCGUGCGAACGUUAUUCGGAAUCACUGGGCUUAAAGCGCGUGUAGGCGGCUGGGCACGUCGGUAGUUGAAAGCCCCCGGCUCAACCGGGGAAGUGGUGCCGAAACGACCCGUCUGGAGGGACGUAGGGGGACCUGGAACUUCCGGUGGAGCGGUGAAAUGCGUUGAGAUCGGAAGGAACGCCCGUGGCGAAAGCGAGGUCCUGGACGUCUACUGACGCUGAGACGCGAAAGCUAGGGGAGCAAACGGG